This 73-nucleotide transfer RNA is filed under the name Stegodyphus dumicola. RNAcentral's name for it is "tRNA-Thr". It matches the Rfam family "tRNA". Rfam says of the family: Transfer RNA (tRNA) molecules are approximately 80 nucleotides in length. Their secondary structure includes four short double-helical elements and three loops (D, anti-codon, and T loops). Lineage: Eukaryota; Metazoa; Arthropoda; Arachnida; Araneae; Eresidae. The record is from RNAcentral.
GCCUUCGUGGUGUAGUGGUCAGCACGCUCGACGCGUAUUCGAGAGAUCCGUGGUUCGAGUCCCGGCGAGGGCA